UACAGAGGUCUCAAGCGUUGUUCGGAUUCACUGGGCGUAAAGGGUGCGUAGGCGGUCGGGUAAGUCUGAUGUGAAAUCUCACAGCUUAACUGUGAAACUGCAUUGGAUACUAUCCGGCUCGAGGAAUGGAGGGGAGACUGGAAUACUUGGUGUAGCAGUGAAAUGCGUAGAUAUCAAGUGGAACACCAGUGGCGAAGGCGAGUCUCUGGACAUUUCCUGACGCUGAGGCACGAAAGCUAGGGGAGCGAACGGG
Molecule: ribosomal RNA, 253 nt
Filed under: uncultured bacterium
Lineage: Bacteria
Description: partial 16S ribosomal RNA
Rfam family: Bacterial small subunit ribosomal RNA
Source: RNAcentral